Long non-coding RNA from Gasterosteus aculeatus aculeatus (three-spined stickleback), 4452 nucleotides. The record is from Ensembl. Lineage: Eukaryota; Metazoa; Chordata; Actinopteri; Perciformes; Gasterosteidae.
UACACUUUGUGGUGUGAGUACAUUGAAACAUUAUAUUGAACAUUUUUGCUUUUGUAUUUUUUACUUGUUACAAAUGGUGCAGCUUUUCAUAUUUGACAAUGUACAAAAUAUAUAUUUGUGACAGAGCUGAAUAUUUACCGCAAACAUCCAAAGAAAGAUGACAAAUAGAUUAUUAGUGUAAUUCUUAGUUUUAUCUGAAUCUUUGCAUUGAGUCUGGUGAGAUUUAUGCUUUCUUCUUGUGCAUUGUGUGUUAGGAUCACAGAGAUGUGGGAUGUGUGUGUGUGUGUGUGUGUGUGUCCUCCUUGGGAAUAAUAUGAAUUUCAUGGUGGCUGGAUGCUUUUAGAGGAGUGACCCGUCCUAAAGUAGGCUAGUAGUGCAAUGCCUCCAGCAUGGGCCGACCACUCAAUGUGUGUGUGUGUGUGUGUGUGUGUGUGUGUGUGUGUGUGUGUGUGUGUGUGUGUGUGCGCGCGUAAAAUGGUAGUCAAGGCAUUUCCCUUCUUCCUUUGUCUGCUGCUGUGACUGACACACAAGCACACACACCUACAUGUGACAUCACGACAGCUGUUGGAGUCGAUCAGAUGGACCUGGAUGGACUGUGAAAGUGUUAGAAGGGUUCCCUUCUGUGACAGCUUCCAGCAAAUAAAGUGCAGGCAUGAGUACAAUAGACAGAAGUAUAUCUGUCAAAUACAGGACAGACCGUAAUAUGAAUAUAAGGUUCAUCUCACAAAUGUGAUAAAACGAAGAAAAAGCUCCAUUAAAGUAAAGUACCAGAGUGAACGCAGCUUAUUUCCACCAGCGACACACAACUCAUUCACCAAUGGAAGACAUUGUCCUGAAGUGCUUUAUGGGUAAUUAACUCACCCCACCCUCCCCCAUCACCCUGUGUGACUCCCCCGUCACUAUUGUGGAUUUCUUCCGUCUCCUGGGCUCCAUCAUCACCCAGGACCUCAAGUGGGAGCUGAACAUCAGCUCCAUCACCAAGAAGGCUCAGCAGAGGUUGUUCUUCCUGAGGCAGCUGAAGAAACUCAACCUGCCAAAGACGAUGAUGGUCCACUUCUACACGGCCAUCAUGGAGUCCAUCCUCUGCUCCUCCAUCAGCGUCUGGUACGCUGCAGCCACAGCCAAGGACAAGGGCAGGCUGCAGCGUGUCAUCCGCUCUGCAGAGAGGCUGAUCGGCUGCAAUCUCAUUUUAAACAUGUUUAACUUUAACGUUUAUUCCUUUAUUUUAAACUAACCCAUAGCUUCACACUACUAACCCAUAGCCUUACACUACUAACCCAUUAUUUUAUUCCUUGUGCACUGCUGUCUUGUCGUCCAUUGUCGUACUGUCUGCUGUUACGCUCCAACCGCCAAGUCACAUUCCUUGUAUGUCUGAUAUUAUGGCGAUAAAUGUUUCCUGAUUCCUGAUCAAAAGAUACAAUAUUUAUAUAAACAUAUUCAUCAAUAUCAGCUUUAUUUGUUAAAUACGUGUAUUAAUAUAAUUUACUGUACUUACUACAGAAAUAUAAAACAGUGGAAUGCUUAAAAAUGACAUUAUAAAUAUUUUUGUCUUCUAUAGAUCCGAUUGGCUGGAUCAUUAUUAUCACCUUCAGACCACUAGAUGGAGAUAAAGACCUGAGGAUCAUCCAGAGCAGCUGAUAGAAGAGCACCUACACACACACACACACACACACACACACACACACACACACACACACACACAUACACACACACACACACACACACACACACACAUUUACACACAUGGCCAGUAAACAUGAGUAGAUAUUUUGAUACUGUAAUGUGAACCUCUCCGUCUCUACUCACCAUCUGCCACACACACACACACACACACACACAAACACGCGUGCACGCACACACACACACACCCGUGCACGCACACACACACACAUGCCCCCCCCCCCCACACGCAUACACACUUUUCAUUUUUCCAUCCCUUGUCUCCAGUUCCCUCCUUCUGUCUCUCCUCACCGUCUCACUUUCUCUGUCUCUCACACACACACACACACACACACACCAACACACACACACACACACACACAGACACACACACAGACACACACCUACGGUGCCUGACACAGUAGCAUCUGGCGUCUUUCUGCUGCCGUCUUUCUGCUGCCGCCUCCCUCCUGAGACUCCUAUGAUGCGUCCUCCUCUGAACUUGCAGCUUCUCACCUGCAGAGCUCGUGUGAUCCACCUGCUUUUUAUUAAAAGGCUUAUUUUGUCAUUCAGCUAAACCUUGAAUUUAUGCCAGAAUUGAAACUUUAAAACGUCUUUCAUCCGCUGCUGAAAACUUCCAUUUUAUUUUAGCUGAUGGAAUAAGGAACAAAAAUACAAUCUUCUUACCACACUUUAAGUUUAUGGAAAGCUCGAAAUGAAUGUUUUUUCACUGUAACCCAGGUCAAAAAAAGAGGUGAAGACAGAAAAUACUGACUAAUAAUCAUAACGAAGCUCCAUAACAUCUGGUGGAGACUAACGUCGUGUGUGACGACCCUAAGCUACCCAAGCUAAGCUCAAAGAACCGAUUCUUUAAUAUUUUAAUGUGCAUGUGACGAGGCCCUGCGAUUGGCGGGCGACCGAUCCGACGUGGACCCCGUCUCUCGCCCGGAGUGACCCCGGCCCCCCGGCGACCCUGUAUGAAGGAUAAGACGAGCCUGCAUUGUUUUCUGCCUUUGGUAAGACUUGUUUUCACCCACAUGUUGGAUGUCUGGAGGAACUUUUUUUGCCAUUUUUUUUUUCUCAAGGGGCCGGACUUAACAAAGGGCCCAUGAGCACAAAAAGUGCAGGAUCAUCUCGUCAAGUAGCAAGCAUCGCCUCUUGAGGUGCAGUCAGUGUCCUGCCGCCUGUUGAAAUACGGCGACCUUUGACCCGGGGAACUCAGACCACAUCCCCACAUUGACGUCCGUCCCCCUGGAGGGAAACAUCCAACAUGGCAGCGUGCGCACAGAUCCUGGCCGUCCUACAAAGCGAAGCAAAGGAAGACGGGGAAGAGGGACGGAUGUGGAAAAGGGGGGAGUUCACACACACACACACACACACAGUGAGUACUGAUGAAAGAUACGCUGGAAAAAGCUGCAGAGAACAGAGCCCGACAGGUGGAAACCAUUAACCGCCGCAUGGAAAGUCAAACAGCACUGUGCGUGCAGGUGUGUGUGUGUCUGUGUGUGUGUGCAGGUGUGUGUGUGUCUGUGUGUGCGUGCAGGUGUGUGUGUGUCUGUGUGUGUGCGUGCAGGUGUGUGUGUGUGCAGAUGUGUGUGUGUGUGUGCAGGUCUGCGUGUGUCUGUGUGCGUGCAGGUGUGCGCGUGUCUGUUUGUACGUGCAGGUGUGUGUGUGUCUGUGCGUGCGUGCAGGUGUGCGUAUGUCUGUGUGCAUGCAGGUGUGUCUGUGUGUGUCUGUGUGUGCGUGCAGGUGUGUGUGUGUGCGUCUGUGUGUGCGUGCAGGUGACAAUCACAGGAAACCAUUUAAAGCUGACGUAUCACCUGAGACACUCUGUGCCCCCCCGCCGCAAUUCACAAAACUCCACCCACCGGCUGCACCCCGCAGCUCAAAACAAACCCCCCCUUUGAAGCUCUUUGUAUCUAAUUUAAUAUUGACAUUUUGUAAAAGAACAGUUUUUUUUGCGUAUUAAUCUCUUUAUCUUGAUUAAUGUGACAGAGGAGAAAGUUGUUGGUUCCGACGUCAUUUGGAGGGAAGUGAUGAAAUAAAGAAGCAGGAGGCCGUUCACACAGAUGAAAUCUGAGGGUCUUGAUGGAUUAAUGUCUCGCUGCGCAGAUAAUUCAACCAGGAUGUUUUCUGUCCCCGUUUUUGAUGAUUUUAAUGCGCCUCCGUGACAGCCGGCCUCGUCAUGCAGCGUUUACGAGAAGCAGCGAGAAGACGUUUUUAUAAAUUAGAGGGCGAGUCGCCCCCUGCUGGUCACUACAGGGAAUGCAUGAUACUUUGUUUUUGACCGACCAAGAAACACUUUCAGUGUAAAAUAUGAGUUGAUGAAUGAAAGAAUGUGAUGACUCAUUGGAAAUAACCCCGUGAGACUUCCUCAGUUUUCCUUCCCCCCCCCCCCGUCUGGGUGAUGGAUGACCUCCUCGGAGGGGCUUCCUGUGCCGUUUGGGAAGUCGUUAGGGCCGAGCUGGAUUCCUUUUUUUCGAACAUAUGUGUGAUUUGUGUGGCAUCGGCGGUCGGACUGGAUGACGGGGAGAAGGUGAAGUGAACUAGGAAGCAGCGCUGUGCUUCUUGGCUCAUUGGUCUGAUGGUAACGAUGGGAAAGGGAAAGAAAGUUGAUGACGGAGAUCUUAUCAGCUGGGAAAAACCAGACUCUCAGGGGUUGGUUUAGUUCCGUCAUUUUCUCUCCUUCUUUCUUCUCUCCAUUUCUUUUUCUCCCUCAUUCCUCCUCAUGUCGUCCUCCUUUCCUUCUCCCUUUUUCAUCUUUCAGAUUCGUCAUUUUCUCUUGUCUUUCUC